UAGCGAGUAAAGCCUAUCCGAAACAAUGAUGCCUGCAUUAGUGGGUUAGGAGGAUUAGGAUAGGGGUCGCUU
This 72-nucleotide non-coding RNA is filed under the name unclassified sequences. RNAcentral's name for it is "DUF3800-X RNA". It matches the Rfam family "DUF3800-X RNA". The record is from Rfam by way of RNAcentral.